Non-coding RNA from Candidatus Blackburnbacteria bacterium, 287 nucleotides. The record is from Rfam. Lineage: Bacteria; Candidatus Blackburniibacteriota.
GGAAGCAGGACGAUUAGGCGCCAACAGCUACACUAGUUGCGGGUGUCAGGAAAGUCCAGACAGCAGGAAGCAGGGUGCCCAGCGUAAGCUGGGGCGGGAGACCGCCAGUAAGAGCCACAGAGACUACGACUCAUUUCUAACCGAAAGGUUGGAAAAAGAGGGUGAAAAGAGGCAAUCCUCCCCGCUGCAACCUCCGAAUGGUGUGUUUGACCGGCUUCCGGGAGCACCGAAGUUUGAGGGCUAAGACAGAUUAUCGUCGAAAAACAGAACCUGGCUUACUAGCUUCC